GGGGCGAUGGGGUGACCCCAUGGAUCCCAGUGGUGAUGAGGUAACCCCAAAGAUGCCAAUGGAGGGGCGAUGGGGUAACCCCAUGGAUCCCAAUGGAGGGGUAAUGGGGUGACCCCAAAAAUCCCCAUGGAUCCCAAUGGAGGGGUAAUGGGGUGAUCCUAUGGAUCCCAAUGGAGGGGUAAUGGGGUGACCCCAAAAAUCCCCAUGGAUCCCAAUGGAGGGGUAAUGGGGUGAUCCCGUGGAUCCCAAUGGGUCUCAGUGGAGGGGUGAUGGGGUAACCCCAUGGAUCCCAGUGGAUCCCAAUGGAG
RNAcentral lists this long non-coding RNA (308 nucleotides) under Gallus gallus (chicken). The record is from RNAcentral. Lineage: Eukaryota; Metazoa; Chordata; Aves; Galliformes; Phasianidae.